This 244-nucleotide ribosomal RNA is filed under the name uncultured Staphylococcus sp. RNAcentral's name for it is "partial 16S ribosomal RNA". It matches the Rfam family "Bacterial small subunit ribosomal RNA", at positions 96 to 334 of the family's 1533-position model. The record is from RNAcentral. Lineage: Bacteria; Bacillati; Bacillota; Bacilli; Caryophanales; Staphylococcaceae.
CGGCGGACGGGUGAGUAACACGUGGAUAACCUACCUAUAAGACUGGGAUAACUUCGGGAAACCGGAGCUAAUACCGGAUAAUAUAUUGAACCGCGUGGUUCAAUAGUGAAAGACGGUUUUGCUGUCACUUAUAGAUGGAUCCGCGCCGCAUUAGCUAGUUGGUAAGGUAACGGCUUACCAAGGCGACGAUGCGUAGCCGACCUGAGAGGGUGAUCGGCCACACUGGAACUGAGACACGGUCCAG